CCUACGGGAUGCAGCAGUGGGGGAUAUUGCACAAUGGGGGAAACCCUGAUGCCGCGACGCCGCGUGUAGGAAGACGGUCCUCUGGAUUGUAAACUACUGUCCCCAGGGACGAAGAUGACGGUACCUGGGGAGGAAGCUCCGGCAAACUACGUGCCAGCAGCCGCGGUAAUACGUAGGGAGCGAGCGUUGUCCGGAAUUACUGGGUGAAAAGGGAGCGUAGGGGGGGAUGCAAGUUGGGUGUUAAAUCUACCGGCUAAACUGGUAGUCGCACUCAAAACUGCAGCUCUGGAGUGAAGUAGAGGCAGGCGGAAUUCCUAGUGUAGCGGUGAAAUGCGUAGAGAGUAGGAGGAACACCAGUGGCGAAGGCGGCCUGCUGGGCUUUUACUGACGCUGAGGCUCGAAAGUGUGGGGAGCAAACAGGAUUAGAUACCCCUGUAGUC
RNAcentral lists this ribosomal RNA (440 nucleotides) under uncultured bacterium. RNAcentral describes it as "partial 16S ribosomal RNA". It matches the Rfam family "Bacterial small subunit ribosomal RNA", at positions 338 to 795 of the family's 1533-position model. The record is from RNAcentral.